CGGGAGUGUGAAGGAGCAAGUGCCGACAGCUACAACCGCGAUUCAGAGGUUCUUGAAAGGGUUGCUGUUGUUUCUGGACAGUCAUCCUGGGCGGCUGUCCCCAGGCCAGCGAGGCCGACUGCUUAGCCUGCAGCCUGGGCCGCACUCCUGAGACACUCUGCCCCCAUCUGACUGGCCACGUGCCCUCUCGCUCCUCAGUGGCAAAGGAGGAAGAGGCAGUGAGAUGGCAAAUAGGCAAGGCCACCAUCAGUCAUUGUCGUCACUGUCACCAUCGUCUUGCAGAUCAGCCACAAUCCUGCCUGCACAGAACAGAGUGUCACUCUGUCACCCAGGCUGGAGUGCAGUGGCACAAUCUCGGCUCACUGCAACCUCUGCCUCCCAGGUUCAAGCGAUUCUUCUGCCUCAGCCUCCCAAGUAGCUGGGACCACAGACACUGUGGGAGGCUUGAGGCCCAUGACAUCAAUUUAGGCAUCCGGAGAAGUGACAGAGACAUACUCAGGAAGGCUGGACCCAUGGAGGCUGCCCACCUUGUUCAUUGAUUUCUACUUGAUUGAUUCCUUCUUGAUUGAUUUCCAGGAUCUCUGAAACGAGAAGCCCUCCCCUUUAUAUGUUUAAUCAGAUAUUGCAAAGUGGACCUGAGAACGAGCCCGUCGGAAGCAGAUUAUGAAGGGGCCUAUGUUUUGAAUAUGCUGAACUGCUUUGGUUUGUGACUGGGGAAGAUUAAAGGCCUACAACAAAAAUGAGUGCUGGAUAUUGCUGACAAGAGAGGCUUCCUGUAAUUUCUCAGGCCAUAAGUAUUUAAGGGUCCACUGUUGACGCCAGCAUUGCAUUUCCCAUGUUCCUGCUUGACACACCUGUGCAGGUGGCAUGGUUUUAGCAGACCGAUCCAGAGAGAAGUAUCUGCAUUACAGUUAGACUGGAAGAAAAGUUAUUAAGUUGAGACUUUAAGGUAACCAGCCUUACCGACGUCACAGAAGUGUGUACGGAGAAGAGUUCCUGCCAGCUCAAGUAUUGUCUCCUCUGAUCAGAGUUCUCCUUGCACAGCUUAUUUCUGCUGUGAUAGAAAAACAGUCUGGGUGUCACAGAGAGAACUGAAGACAGGAAGUGGGAACUCUCCCUUCUGAAUACAGCACUAGAGUUAAUGUUAAGAGUGAGGGAAAAAAGCUAAGAGUAAUUCCUAUUGGUGAACUCAUUCAAUAUUCACAGACACCUAGGAGAUAGAUAUUCUUCUUCUUCUUCCCAUCUUCUAAGAAACUGAGGCCCAGAGAGGUUGAGUAAAUUACUCAAGAUUAAAUAGCACAGAUGGCAGAACAAAGAUGCAAACUCAGAAAGUCUGGCUCCAUUCUUUCUUUUCUUUUCUUUUCUUUUCUUUUCUUUUUUUUUUUUUUUUUGAGACAGGGUUUCGCUCUGUUGCCUGGCUGGAGUGCAGUGGUGCAAUCGUAGCUUAUAGCAGCCUUGACCUCCUGGGUUCAAGCGCUCCUCCCAUUUCAGCCUCCCAACUAGCUGGGACCACAGGCAUGCAUCCCCACAUCCAGUUAAUUUUUGUAUAUUUUUGGGGGUAGAGAUGGGGUUUCACCAUAUUGCACAGGCUGGUCUUGAAUUCCUGGACUCGUGAUCCACCUGCCUUGGCCUCCGAAAGUGUUGGGAUUACAGGUGUGAGCUACUGCACCCGACCCUGACUCCAUUCUUAACCACUAUAUUACAUUGAUGUAUGUGUCCUCUUCACCUGGCAAAUCUUUAUGGAAUUUGGAAUAAGGCAAGGAUGUACUGCAAUAGGAUGUCGUAUCUGGACUUUUUUAAAAAAGUGUCUUUGAUUAUAAGACAAAUUCCAUAGCAUAAGAACUCAGAAACCACAAUGUAACAAAUCUCUGAUGACUAUUUGCAAAUUAUUUUUCCAGUGUCCUAAAGAAUACGGCCCUGCCCUGAGAGAGUAAAAUCACCUGCCACAGUGGUCCUUUGCACUAGGACUUCCCCCUCAUUCUCUCGCCUUUAGGGAUGGGAUAGCUGAGAAGAAGGGCCAAGCGGAUUACUUGGGAACGUGCCACAUUGAUGGGAAUUCAGGUGGUCUUGCUAGACUUCUACUGGGCACUGCUUUCUUUAUAAUGCUAAGUGUAUAUAAUCUGUUUUAUAUGCUUUGAGAAUGCACUGUAAUUGGUACACUCUGAUAAUCAAAGCAAACUUAGUCACAUAUAUUAGACACCACAGAGAAGUGUGCAGUGGAGUGAAACUGCAAUUUAUAUUGCCGUGUUACACUAGUUUCAGCUCCAGUUUUUAUUCUAUGCGUGAAAUGUAGGAUAAGAUUGCUCCUGUUGCAGCUUUUAGAGUUACUUCUUUGACCAUGUUUGGUUUGGCAGUUAAGAAAAAAAUCAACAGCAGGAUUACAUUUCAAUGGCACAACAUCUAAUCCUCAGGCAAAUGAUUUGUCCACGCUUAAUAUAAAGUACUUAGGAUGUAUUGUUUGAUGUGAACACUAGUUCUAAUAAAAUGGUGCCUGAGGUACAGUUCUUUAACUUGUAAUACCCUUAUUUGUGUUGGCCUGUACACAUUGGAUAUAAAGCCAUCGUGAUAAAAUAUAUCCUCUUUAGCCUGAUAAAAAGGAAAAUCAGAGUAGAGGACCCAUACCAGGAGAGAGAAGAUGCUGUAAAACACAAAGCCCCUUAUGAUGUUUGUAGUUGGCCUUGAGGACACGCCCUUCAACACUUCUCUGAUGGGCACUUUCCCACUGUCUUGGAGGAGC
RNAcentral lists this long non-coding RNA (2737 nucleotides) under Homo sapiens (human). RNAcentral describes it as "HSALNT0332424". Lineage: Eukaryota; Metazoa; Chordata; Mammalia; Primates; Hominidae. The record is from RNAcentral.